UAGGGAAAAUUGGGCAAUGGACGAGAGUCUGACCCAGCCAUGCCGCGUGCAGGAAGAAGGCCUUCUGGGUUGUAAACUGCUUUUGAUCGGGACCAAAAGACUCAUGCGUGAGGAAUUGAGAGUACCGAUAGAAUAAGCACCGGCUAACUCCGUGCCAGCAGCCGCGGUAAUAAUCAC
RNAcentral lists this ribosomal RNA (177 nucleotides) under uncultured bacterium. RNAcentral describes it as "partial 16S ribosomal RNA". It matches the Rfam family "Bacterial small subunit ribosomal RNA", at positions 355 to 528 of the family's 1533-position model. The record is from RNAcentral.